RNA transcript from Cyanidioschyzon merolae strain 10D, 2358 nucleotides. RefSeq lists it as hypothetical. The transcript has a single exon. Lineage: Eukaryota; Rhodophyta; Bangiophyceae; Cyanidiales; Cyanidiaceae. The record is from RefSeq and is a predicted model, not a curated record.
AGCAAAGGCCUAAACCGUACAUGAGGAAUUGUGUUCACUGAUGCAUCGAAGAGAAGGGCACCAUUGCCAACGUCUACUCAGGUCGUCUGAUUUCCGUUGACUCAAUGGGCUUGGAGUGGAGCGCCCACGCCUACGCAAACCUGAAAACUCACGGAGAAGGCGAAGCGGUAGAAGGGGAAGAAUGUCACCUCACAAGCAACAGUCAGUUGCUUUCGAAAACAGCACAAGGAGAGAUCGGAAGGAAAACUGGUUGUUGCGGGGAGGUCACUCUGGACGCAGUGUCAACGCCUCGCUAUGACGACACGUCAACGGGGAGGAUCCUCCAAAAAACGAGUUUCGGGACGCCAUGAAGUCUCUCGAAGCUUUCCUCAUCUUGAUGCGCAUCGUCAAACACUUGUGCUUAGGCGAACCGGACGCACGAUUUCGGUCUCCCGUACACUUCUUGGGAUUUGCUCUAUCCAUCCGGCAUGCGGCAACACAACUGAUACCCAGGCCAGAAGAUGCAACACCGCCUGAUUGUAGGAUAAGAACGUUGAAAACGCGCUCUCGAGGAUAGCUUGCGGCGUCGCCGUGCCACCUCGGCGAUGAGCGCGUCUACGACGCGUUUGCGGAAACUUGUGAAACUAACCUCCGCAUCCAUUUGUGGAUCGGUCUGGAGCACUUGAGAAAGUAUAUCUUGUCGGUGUUGGGCGGUCGUAUUCUCGGAGCAUCGGUCGAGAACGCGGGAACCUAUGCAAGGAAGGAAUCCUUAGAAUGUCGAUUGCGGCAGAUGACGUGCUGACGUUGGCGGCCGAUGCUAUCGAUGCGCUUGUGCGUUCCAAAGAGGUGUCGCAACGAGCGCGUUGAUCGCUGCAGAUCAUCGAAGUUCAUUGGGUCGCUCACGGCCUCGCAGCGGCGGACAUCGUACCCCACGCUAGAUGAACCGCGAUGCAUCUUGCGCUAUGACAAUAUCGAGAAGCGAACUCCCCCGAGCCAGGCGGACUUUCUUUCCGAAUGCGAGCGCCCGAGCCGCUUCCACCGGCAAUGACAUGUGGUACCCGAACGGGAGCUAGAGGCCGAGUAUAUCAUCGUUGACGCAUGGAUAGCGUAUGGUCUCCUUAAUGGGCUAUGGCUGGUCUCUGCGACCAACAUUGCAGCAUUCGAACAGCUUCGCGAAGAGCAUCGGCCGCGCUUGUUCAAGAUUUCCCGUUUACCGGAAAGAGAGACACAGAAGCAUACAUAGACGAGUGAGAGCAGCAGACGAUCCUUCUGCAUGUGCUAUGUUAGACUCAGUGCUGAGUCGAAUAACGGGGCUCGUUUUCAAAUGCUCCAGGUAGCUUUUACAGACACUGCGUGGCGGGCGUAGAUUCCUGGUUGAUGGGCGUCGUGGCGGUCGCAGUACCGCCAGACCAAGGUGACAGAGCCAAGAGACCCGUACGCAAAGCAAGUGAAGCUGCCCGACUUGCCCAGUGCCCAGGAUCGUCGAGUCGGGCAUGAUAUACGCCCGGGUGCAUACGAACGAGCGGCAUGACUGCUUCAUGGACCAUGGCAACGCCCUGAGCAUCGUAUCGCGCAGAAGGAAAUGCUUUGUACACUACGGUAUGUGCGCUAAUGAGCGUCCACACGGCUGUUGUGGACGAUUUCUGGCCUCGGUACAUAAGCCAUCACGGAGAUCGCCAACGUUUAUUGAUGGACGAAUGCGAGAAGCGUACGUCUGCGAGCUUGUUCCAUGAACAGGGAAGGUAGAUGACCGAUUACGCGCGUCAUUUAGCGGCGGUGGGAGCCCCUGCCGCAGGACGCGUUGUCGAGCGAAAUAGCUACGCUCCUCCUCUCUCGAACAGAGUGUACAGCGGGUGCAGGAAUCGAUUCUAUAAGAUUUCUGUCGAUGCUUUCAGGAUGACAUUCGCGCGUCACGAGCACAUGUGCUCGCUCCAAAACGUUUAGAAGCGGGAAGCGAAUCAGAGACGGACGCACGACAUGGUGCCUCGCGUACGGACGGCAUAUUAGGUAGCGAGGCAAUCGAAGGGAAACGACUUGCGGGGGUGUGAUUCCACCAGCAAGCGUUCGCGCAAGCACUCGCUGCACCGUCACUUGAGCGUCUCGGUGAGCACUGGGAAAUCUGUAGGAGUUCAGGAGUGUCCAGCGGCUUGGAGUUGUGCGAGCGUUAACGGAAUCAAUUUGUACACAGUGCAUGGGUAUUGUAGUGAAUCGCAGGGGGCCUCGCGAUGAAAACGAUCAUUAGUCACGAACGUGCGCAUUGGACUCUCGCAUGGUGCAACGCAAGGAAAUGGUGCGGUUCAGCGAUCCACUGAGACUGGAACGCCCUGCAUACACACCAGAAAUGGUUUACAUUGCCAUGCGGUAAACGACAAUGGUGUU